Pistacia vera is the source of this 468-nucleotide long non-coding RNA. RefSeq lists it as uncharacterized. The transcript has 3 exons. NCBI's taxonomy places the organism in Eukaryota, Viridiplantae, Streptophyta, Magnoliopsida, Sapindales, Anacardiaceae. The record is from RefSeq and is a predicted model, not a curated record.
UUGGCAAAAGGGUAUGGAAUUGCUAUUGAGUAAGGUUUGAAGCAACGAAAACAGAAAAGGAAGGCAUCUGCUGCAGGGAAUUGGAGUAUCUUGAUGUUGCAAGAAGAUAUGGUCUUCAUCUCGUAUCUCUUGCAAUUGCAUUUGUUUUGAGGCACCCUCUUGUUGCAAGUGCUGUAUUUAGAGCUACCAAGUCAAGCCAACUUCAGGAGGUUAUAAAUGCAUGCCAGGUUGAGCUCACAGUCGAAAUUGUCGUAGAAUCAAUAGAAUCCAUUCAAACUUUCCUAAUUCGUGUCCCUGAUUUAUUUCCUUGGACAAACUUCUGUACUUAUAUAGAUGAAAAGGACAAGGCAACUCCCUUGGAAGAAGCAUAAAUAGAUCACAAUUUCCUUAUAUAGACUUCUGUACUUUUAGGCUGCUGUUUUAUCAGUUGUCAGGCCAAUUUUAAUGAAUCAUAACACAAUUUUAAUG